This 253-nucleotide ribosomal RNA is filed under the name uncultured bacterium. RNAcentral describes it as "partial 16S ribosomal RNA". It matches the Rfam family "Bacterial small subunit ribosomal RNA", at positions 524 to 775 of the family's 1533-position model. The record is from RNAcentral.
GACGAACCGUGCGAACGUUAUUCGGAAUCACUGGGCUUAAAGCGCGUGUAGGCGGGUCGCCACGUCGGAUGUUGAAAUCCCCCGGCUCAACCGGGGAAUAGGCACCGAUACGAGCGGCCUGGAGGGGAGUAGGGGGACCUGGAACUUCCGGUGGAGCGGUGAAAUGCGUUGAGAUCGGAAGGAACGCCCGUGGCGAAAGCGAGGUCCUGGGCUCUUACUGACGCUGAGACGCGAAAGCCAGGGGAGCAAACGG